Molecule: transfer RNA, 67 nt
Filed under: Marmota monax (woodchuck)
Lineage: Eukaryota; Metazoa; Chordata; Mammalia; Rodentia; Sciuridae
Description: tRNA.Ala
Source: RNAcentral
GGUUGUGGCUCAGUGGCAGAGUGCUUGCCUAGCAUGUGUGAGGCACUGGGUUUGAUCCUCAGCACCA